RNAcentral lists this ribosomal RNA (491 nucleotides) under uncultured bacterium. RNAcentral describes it as "partial 16S ribosomal RNA". It matches the Rfam family "Bacterial small subunit ribosomal RNA", at positions 30 to 506 of the family's 1533-position model. The record is from RNAcentral.
AGUGAACGCUGGCGGUAGGCCUAACACAUGCAAGUCGAACGGCAGCACAGUAAGAGCUUGCUCUUACGGGUGGCGAGUGGCGGACGGGUGAGGAAUACAUCGGAAUCUACUUUUUCGUGGGGGAUAACGUAGGGAAACUUACGCUAAUACCGCAUACGACCUACGGGUGAAAGCAGGGGAUCUUCGGACCUUGCGCGAUUGAAUGAGCCGAUGUCGGAUUAGCUAGUUGGCGGGGUAAAGGCCCACCAAGGCGACGAUCCGUAGCUGGUCUGAGAGGAUGGUCGGCGCAGCUGGAGCGGAGGACGGGGCCAGGCUCGGAGGGGGGGCGGGAGGGGGGAAGUUUGGACAGGGGGGGCAAGGCUGACCCAGCCAGAGCGGGGGGGUGAAGAAGGCCUUCGGGGUGGAAAGCCCUUUUUGGGGGAAAAAAAAGCAGCGGGUUGAAACCCGGCUGUGCUGGGGGGACCCAAAGAAGAAGCAGGGGCAAACUGCGU